This 1059-nucleotide long non-coding RNA is filed under the name Echeneis naucrates (live sharksucker). RNAcentral's name for it is "lncRNA (ENSENLG00000009933.1)". The record is from RNAcentral. Lineage: Eukaryota; Metazoa; Chordata; Actinopteri; Carangiformes; Echeneidae.
AUGGCUCAAGCAAAGGUUGAGCUGGACCAGAUUGCCGCAUGGUUUAGUGAGGAGGGACUUGACCCAGGCUCCUCUAAGGAGGCUCAGCUGUGCGAGCUGUGGCGGGCCUUUCACUGUGUAAGAAGCCAUCUGAGCAGUGUGACAAGGGACCAGGACAGGCAGCGCUCACAACACUUAGCAGAGAUGGAUGAAGUGCGCAAGUCCUUGGAGCAGAUCAGCAUCUUUACAGAACAAAAAGAUGUUUUGGUUCAGGAGAUACAAGAUGAAAACGAUCAGCUGAAGGAUCGGCUGCGGCAGCUAAUAUCCCUUCAAGACACCCAGAUAAGCGAGGUGGCUAAAAUGCUGUACCAGCAGGGUCUCACUGAGUUGAUUCACAGCAGCCCCAGUGAGCAGGUGGCAUAUCUCUUGGUGGAGAGGGCCUCCCUACUCGAGACAAGUGAGGAUCGUGACAACCUGACAAAUGCUGGAAACACAAUCAGCCCAGCGCAAACAGAGACGCAACUGCCAAACAGCAACGCACAACAGAAGUGGGUGCCAAAUCAUGGCCAGAGUCCAUGGAGGAAACUCUUUGGUCUCCACAAAGCCACACAAAGCAAACACACUCCCAUUCCUAAUGAAGCCAGGCAUUUGACUAAUCAGUCAAAUGCCAGUGUGGAAAGGAAGUGCUCCCGUCUGGAGCGGGAUUUGGAGGAGGGCUCCCGUCGGCUGGCCAUGGCCCACAAUGAGAUACGACGUCUGACUGAUGAGUUAGAGUCUGCACAUUUGACCCAAAAAUCUUUUGAGUCUGAGCUGCAGGCAGCACAACAGGAAGAAGAAAAACUGAGGAAAUCUGAAAUGGUGGAACUGAGAAAGGCUAAAGAAGUAAACGAUCGUCUGGACCUUGAGAUCAGAGCCUUGAGGACUAGGGUACGCUCCCUGGAUGCUGAGAAAAACUCUCUGCAGUGGACAGUAGACUCUCUGCAGCAGGAAGUGGAGCGGUUACAGUCAACCCUACAGGAGCAACGGCAGCAAGCCAAGCAGGUGUCACCACAGACGGUCAUGCUUGUUCAUCCCUCAUAG